CACGCAGUAAACGAUGAAUACUAACUGUAUGCGAUAUACUGUAUGCGGUACAGCGAAAGCGUUAAGUAUUCCACCUGGGGAGUACGUUCGCAAGAAUGAAACUCAAAGGAAUUGACGGGGGCCCGCACAAGCGGAGGAACAUGUGGUUUAAUUCGAUGAUACGCGAGGAACCUUACCCGGGCUUGAAAUGCAGAAGACCGACGAAGAAAUUCGUUUUCCAGCAAUGGCUUCUGUGUAGGUGC
RNAcentral lists this ribosomal RNA (242 nucleotides) under uncultured bacterium. RNAcentral describes it as "partial 16S ribosomal RNA". It matches the Rfam family "Bacterial small subunit ribosomal RNA", at positions 796 to 1041 of the family's 1533-position model. The record is from RNAcentral.